This 721-nucleotide ribosomal RNA is filed under the name uncultured Fusobacterium sp. RNAcentral describes it as "bacterial SSU rRNA". It matches the Rfam family "Bacterial small subunit ribosomal RNA", at positions 28 to 776 of the family's 1533-position model. Lineage: Bacteria; Fusobacteriati; Fusobacteriota; Fusobacteriia; Fusobacteriales; Fusobacteriaceae. The record is from RNAcentral.
GAUGAACGCUGACAGAAUGCUUAACACAUGCAAGUCUACUUGAACUUCGGUUUGGGUGGCGGACGGGUGAGUAACGCGUAAAGAACUUGCCUCACAGUUAGGGACAACAUUUGGAAACGAAUGCUAAUACCUGAUAUUAUGAUUUUAGGGCAUCCUAAGAUUAUGAAAGCUAUAUGCGCUGUGAGAGAGCUUUGCGUCCCAUUAGCUAGUUGGAGAGGUAACGGCUCACCAAGGCGAUGAUGGGUAGCCGGCCUGAGAGGGUGAACGGCCACAAGGGGACUGAGACACGGCCCUUACUCCUACGGGAGGCAGCAGUGGGGAAUAUUGGACAAUGGACCAAAAGUCUGAUCCAGCAAUUCUGUGUGCACGAUGACGUUUUUCGGAAUGUAAAGUGCUCUCAGUUGGGAAGAAAAAAAUGACGGUACCAACAGAAGAAGUGACGGCUAAAUACGUGCCAGCAGCCGCGGUAAUACGUAUGUCACAAGCGUUAUCCGGAUUUAUUGGGCGUAAAGCGCGUCUAGGUGGUUAUGUAAGUCUGAUGUGAAAAUGCAGGGCUCAACUCUGUAUUGCGUUGGAAACUGCAUGACUAGAGUACUGGAGAGGUAAGCGGAACUACAAGUGUAGAGGUGAAAUUCGUAUAUAUUUGUAGGAAUGCCGAUGGGGAAGCCAGCUUACUGACAGAUACUGACGCUAAAGCGCGAAAGCGUGGGUAGCAAACAGG